Molecule: non-coding RNA, 3711 nt
Organism: Styela clava
Lineage: Eukaryota; Metazoa; Chordata; Ascidiacea; Stolidobranchia; Styelidae
Source: RefSeq, a predicted model, not a curated record
UGUAAAACAAUAGUACAGAAGUACAGAAGUCGAUAAAAAGAAAUAUAAAAAAGUCAAAAUAAAAAUAAAUCAGGUACAUAAAACUGACACGUUUCAAACCAAAAGAUAAUUCAACUCAAUUAUCGUGAUGAAAAGAUAGUGGGAAACAAAUUCCUAAUUGAAUUAAAUUAAAUGCUCCUCAAAUUUAUUGAUAACUUCAAAGCUCUGCUUCAAAAUUAGUUUUGUCCGAGUUUAGCAACAUGAAGCAAUGUAGGUCAAAGAAUUGAGCCCUGAGGGACUCCAGAAGAACGUGGGUAUGUCUGGGAGUGAUGGCCAACAACAUUGAUGGUAAAAAUUAAGAGCAACUUUAAUGGUAAGAAACUGACAAGAUAUACUAAAAAAAUGAAUCGAGCAGAAGAAUCAAAGGUGUGACAAACUAUGUUAUAAGCUUCUGAAAAGGCUCAAGACAAUUGAUUUAGCUCCACCACUGUAACCCAGUUCAUUGAGAAAGGAAUCACCAUAAAGCUAAUGGAAUUAAUUUACCAUAUUCAUCUUGGAAUAAACAAAUCUGCUCCAAUGCCAUAAUAGCUGUGGAAUGUUUAUCAAGAUUCUUGCAAGACUACUAUAAAAAUACAUCAUUUGACAAUUACAUAGUGACAUUAUAAUUUAAUUUUUGAAUUGUUUUUGGAAGAAAAAAAUAAGUGCAAGCAGUUCAGACUUUUACUUUCCUUAAAAAUCAGUUCAAUUUUAGUUAAAAGCAGGCUAAAUUAGUAUCAGUAUUUCAAGUGUUGAGGACAAUUCCUUUAAUUAACAAGAAAAUAUGUGGGUAUACAACAUUCUAUUCAUAUGAAACAAUAAGUCGAGUAGUCGACCUAAAGAAAAAUAAAAAAGUCAUCCAUAAUUUCGAGUUUUUAAACUAACAAAAAUGUCAGGGUGAGUAUAGAAAAAAUUCACAUCAGAUGGUUCAAAACUAAUAGAAAAUUUAAAGCAGUUAUCAUGAGCAGAAGACAGGUUCAAACAUAUACACAAGAUCUCCAAUGUUAUUAUAAUACCCACUGCAAGUAAGGGAUUCUCAAAUUGAUUGAUUGCUUCAAAGCUCUGAUUCAUGAUAAUCAUGCCACUAUGUCAUAGUAAGUUUGUCACAUAUUCUGACAGUAUAAUGAACAAAAAGAAUCAUAUUUCCUCCAACAAGCUUUCAACACUAAAAUUCAACAAGGCUCAUAAGGAUAACAUAUACCCAGAAUACAAUGCUACAAAAAAUCGCAAUCAUAUUUGCUAGGCAGACAAACGUGCAAAGUAUGUAUGUAUAUUGAUUUUCAUGGUCAGUAAAAAUGGGUUUUAUGAUAACAAUUCAAGACUAUUCUCAAAAUUUAAUGCUUACAACAAUACAGUUAAUGACAGAAUAGAUAAAAUUGAGUUAACGUAUAACAAAAAUCGAUUUAUACUAAUAUUUAUCUACUGAAAGUUUUAUCAGAGUUUACUACUGUCUAGAAUUUUGAAAUCAUAUUUUGCGAUAGAAUUUGACUGUCAGGUUUUCAGUACCCGUAGAGGAAAAUAUGAAAAGUUCCCGUUUAAUUCACAACCUUUUUAUCAAGUGACUCAAAUUUAAAACAAAAUUAACUUUGUAAAAUAUUGAGACAAGCAAAAUUAAAGAAUAUUUUUUAUAAUUUUAACAUUACAUCAAAUUUACCAGAAAUCACUUCAAAGUGAGAAAGCCAUAUUUGUUUGCCACCAUGACUUUUCAAAUCAAAUUGUGGCUUUACUUAUGCAAAAUUGAUGCUACCAAAUUUUAACUCUGUGAUACUUAUCACAUAUACAAUUGAGUAACAAUUCAAUGCAAAACAAACAACGAAAUUUACCAGAGAAUAAAGUCUCUAACUUUUAAGGUAUUUUAGAAAAAAACUAGUGACCCAAAGAAAUUUUUGGGGGACCAUAAGUUGGGAAAGACUGCUGUUAUCACACUUUGUAAGCUACCUCAGUUGUUUUUAUUGUACAAUGUAUUCUCAGAAAAAAGCUGAUGUCAUGUAUUUAGGAUUACGAUUGUUUUAAGACAUUGAUUAUCGAAGCCUAUAAAACUGUCAGAAGCAGAGACUUGUCACAAACAGUUUAAAGCAGAUUGUGUGGGAUACAGGUUGAUGUUUUUAUGCUACCAAGUAACCACUAACAGGCAUAAUAUCAUUUGUGUAUUCAUAUACACUCAUAUACACUAAGUUUGUCACACUUGAGUACUAGCUGCAAUGUCAACAGAAUAGAAUAAUAUUUCAAUUCUAUUAGUUUCAGAAACAUGUGAAUGUAGAUGAAACCACAUGAUAUUCAAUAGAAAUCUUCAAAUUAUUCUCAGAAAUACUAGAAACUGCUGUGAUGAUAAUUGGCAACAAUUAAUUCUUAUUCCAGUGUUCUUCUUUGAAAUACAUUCAACUAGGAUAGAAAGAAGAUGUUCAUCCUGAAAAGAGGCAGGUUUACUUUGCUAUUGUUGUUGAUUCAAAGUUUCGAAUUCAUUCAGACUAAACACUGCAAGAUUCCAGAAGAUAAUGAAGAUAUUGACUGGGAUAAAUUUUCUGGUGACUGGUAUCAGGUUCUAAAUACUAACGACGCAGUGAUGGGAAAGGAUGUAGGUGGUGCAAAACAACAGAAUUUUACCGAAACAAGAACAGGAAUGAGUGUGAUGAUUACAGAACCGCAUGAGAAUUCCCCUCCACUAACUUUUACAGUCCACUAUACAAAGAAGAGAGAAGGUAUCUACAGAUUGGCAAAGGAUGAUGGUAUAAAUUGAUUGAAUUAAUUUUUCAAUUAAAAUUGAAGGUAGUAAAUAAUAUUUCAGUAAUAAAAACGAAAAUAAUUUAAAUUUUCAAACAGAAACAGCUGUUCUAGCAUCUCACGCCUUAACACCAGACGACGGAAGAAGCGCAGAUGCAGCAAAAUUAGAUGAUGCAAUGUUCAGUGGUGAUGUUUUGAUUUUGAGUGAUGGGAAGAACUAUUUAAUACAUGCAUUCUGCGGUUUUUCAGACGAAUGGGUUGUCUGGGCGAACUUUCCAACUAUGAAUCCAACAAUUCAUCAAGUCAUCUUGAUGUGGAACAAACUCAUGGAAGAGGAAAUCAAUGUACAACUUCAUCUUUCAGAAGCGAUUGAACAUCCAGAGAAUUUCAAUUUAUGAAAAUCCUAUAUAAACUGCGUAUAUUAUAAUUGGUUUUAAUUGAUAAAAAUUCUAUAUUGAUUAUGUAUAUAUAACUAUAAAUAUCAUGUAUUUAUCUACUUCAAUACCUUUUUCAAAAGUAAUUGAUCAAUGGCAACAAUUGUAAAAGUUUGUUUUUUAUAUGAUCAUUUGCUUUUAGCAGGAUAGGAUAGGAUUUACAUAUUUAUCCCGGGGAGAGGAAAAUCGAUAAGACGACUUAAUCAUAUGGCGAACCACGGUCUCUCGUCCGGUUACCAGUCCAGGUCGGGUAUGGGAUUAGAAUAGAAAAGCUUGGGUAGGCCUAUAUUUAUGUGCCAUUUCAAAACCAAGAUUUUGUGUCAACUGACUGCUCACUUUGAGAAACUCAACAUAUAACAUAUGUGUCUGUCAUACAUGAAGUAACCACCAUGUUGUGCUUUUUAUUAAUAAAAACCAAAGACCAAUAGAUAGUGUUGCAAAGUAAAAUAUGCCGGUAUCAAAAGUUAUCUUAUGAAAUUGAAUUGACCCGCAGAUAGGCAAAAUCUAAUUUGCCAAAAUUUUCAACCCAAUAGCACCAAAG